UGCCGGUCCGAAUUCAGCGGUGUUCACAACUAAUCGAUCACGGCCAGUUGCAGAUGCCUGUGUUCCUUCUCCACUCCGCCGUUUCUCUCGACCAGCCUUAC
RNAcentral lists this small RNA (101 nucleotides) under Microcebus murinus (gray mouse lemur). Its description in RNAcentral is "Y RNA (ENSMICG00000021976.3)". Lineage: Eukaryota; Metazoa; Chordata; Mammalia; Primates; Cheirogaleidae. The record is from RNAcentral.